RNAcentral lists this long non-coding RNA (702 nucleotides) under Equus asinus (donkey). RNAcentral describes it as "lncRNA (ENSEASG00005029381.1)". Lineage: Eukaryota; Metazoa; Chordata; Mammalia; Perissodactyla; Equidae. The record is from RNAcentral.
CUCACUUUCAAAUCAUUCUUCUCAAAACAGCUGGAGCGAACAAAACGAUCAAAGCAAAUCGCCAACUUAAAACACAGCGAAGAAAACUUCUGGUAGAAGAAAAAAUCAACUUCUUGCGGUCAUCUUUCCAGUAACAGCAAUAUUAUAUUACAUUAUAUAUAUAUAUUACGUGAUACAUAUGUGUGUGUGUGUAUAUAUAUAUAUAUAUAUAUAGUACAUGUUAUAUAAUAUAUAUUACAUUAUAUAUUUAAUAUAUAUCUUAUCUUACAUCAUAUAUAUAAUAUAUAUCUUAGAUAUAGAGAAUAUCAUAUAAUAUUACAGUAACAGUAAUAUUUUCUGUUUGCGCUGAUCAUUCCAUCGAUCGUUUCAACUGUCAGUCCUGGAGGAAGGCCCAACAGGCUCCGUUUCCACAUGGUCGGAGUCUUCCACAUCAGUCGAACUGGUUUCUCUUAAAUCAAGUUUCACAUAGUUUUCUGAAGUCGUGUCGAUCGUUUCUUAAAUCAACUUUCACAUCUGUUUCUUAAAUCAAGCUUCACAGAGUUUUCUGAAGUCCUGUCGAUCGUUUCCUAAAUCAAGUUUCACUUCUGCUUCUUAAAUCAAGUUUCACUUCUGUUUCUUAAAUCAAGUUUCACAUCUGUUUCUGACACCAAUUUCACAUUGUUUUCUUACACCAUGUAUGCAUGAAUUGGGUCCCGAGGCUGC